RNAcentral lists this long non-coding RNA (1664 nucleotides) under Theobroma cacao (cacao). RNAcentral's name for it is "long non-coding RNA (TCAC_LNC002434)". Lineage: Eukaryota; Viridiplantae; Streptophyta; Magnoliopsida; Malvales; Malvaceae. The record is from RNAcentral.
UUAUAAAAAGGCAAAAAAAAUCAGCCCAUUUCUCCCAUAGUGAUCAGCCAAACCAGAAGAGAAGAGAAACCAAGGAAGAACAAACCCUAGGUGGGAAAAAUCAAAGAGAAAGUGUUGGAAUUCAAGGAUUUAAUCAAGCAAAGGUAAAAUUUCUUUGAUUUUGCUAGUGAUUUACCUUACCCAUGCAUUUUUCCUUAAUUUCCAUGGUUAAAUUACAUGUUUUCAUGAUGAAUCAUGGCUGGUCAAAAUGGGUAUGGAGAGAGAAUGAUCUUCGAUUGGUUUGAUUUUUAGGUAUGUUAGUGUUUUUAGGUGAUUAAUGAUGUGUAACAUGAAAACAAAUGAAGAAAACCACCAAAGGUUUGGUGCUCAUCAAUACUCGAAUUCUCUAAGUGAAUAAUGAGGAAAAAUGGGAUGUUAUUCUAGGUGAUUUGAUUAAGAAAUAAUAGUUUUUGGUGAAUUGAGGAAUUGGAAAAGAAAUAGAGCAAAUUGGAGUGAAAUUGGGUGCAUUGGCCAAUUUAUCGGAUGAAAAAUCGACUUAGGCCAAUACUGGGUCUACAUGGCUAUCCGUGCAUUUUUCAUUUCAUAUCACAGAUAUUUAUUGAGCCUGAAACAGCUUGUGACUGUUCGACACAAUUUAAUUGGAAUAUGUGUCAUGGAUUAUGGCUAGGUGGUGAGCCAUUGGAUACGGGUAAAGGACUGUACCCGCAGACUAAAAAUAGGAGUAUUUCUACUCCUAAUAUUGUGAGUGAACUUAUUAUCAUCUUAAUUAUCUAGAGUAGUUUUAAACAAUUGUGUGAUUUUAUAGAAAAGAGGUUUAAAUGGUAAAUUGCUAUGUUUUAGGAGAAAUUGUGAUUUUAUAAAAUGAUUUAAUAAAUUUUUUGAAAAAUUGAAUACUAGUUUUGAAAAUAGAGUAAUUGGAGACUGCCUGCUUGUGUUAUAAAUUGUGUUUUUAAUUAUAUGGCUUAUAACAAUAUGUGAGCAUGAAUGGCAAAGUCGGUGUUUGUAUCAAAAUUAUAUAUACUAUGUAUUCAGCCUUGAGAGGCUAGAUUACGAUAAAUUGCUAUGUCAUGCAAAUAAGGAUUUUAUAAAUCAGGUGGUAGAUAAAAUAAAGAUUAGCUACUACAGUGGCAGGGUUUCGUAGACCAGCCUAUUAGAGGGGCACGGUAAACUCCUUUAUAUUCUCACCUCGGUCGUAGAGGCGCGUAGGGUAUCUCUUGAGGUGGGCUUUUUGAGUGCACUUCACGAGGACCACCGCGUGAGAGUGAGACUCAGUCAACGUCAAGGCAUGGCUAGAAUUUCGGAUGUAAAGAUAUUUAAUAGCCUUGGUGGUCUCAAUCAGAUGUCUAGGCCAAGGCAUCCCUGGGAAUGCUUUUGGCAGGAGCCAAGUUUUGUGAGAUAUAUAAGCCAUGUUGAUUAAUUGAGUAAACUGAAUAUUCAUGUUAUGAAACAUAUAUUGGAAAAGAAUAUUUUAAUUCGUCUCCAUUUACUCGCCUUUAGAUAGUUUAGAUGGUGUCUGUUUACUCACUGGGAUUAUGUAAUCAUAAUCUCACCCCUCUUCCUAUCCAUUUUUCAGGCUCAUGACAGUUUGUUGAUAGUUGAUUAAGACAAGAAUUAAUCUCGGAGUUGCAUCCUAGAAAGUAAGGGUUCAUAGCCCUACACCUUCU